AAGUCGUAACAAGGUUUCCGUAGGGUGAGUUCUUACUUCCUCUCUUUUUUACUGAUUACAUUUUUACUAACCCCUUUUCUAGUGAACCUGCGGAAGGAUCAUUAACGAGUUAGGGUCUUCUUGGCCCGACCUCCCAACCCUUUGUUUACUGAACCUCUGUUGCUUCGGCGGGCCCGUCUCACGACCGCCGGAGGACCGCCGACAGGUGUCCUCUGGCCCGUGUCCGCCGACAGCCAAGCUCUCAAAACUCUGUAUGAAUCGUGUCCUUUAUCUCUAAGUCUAUGAUUUAAACAAAUCAAAAAGCAAAACUUUCAACAACGGAUCUCUUGGUUCUG
Molecule: unclassified non-coding RNA, 335 nt
Filed under: fungal sp.
Lineage: Eukaryota; Fungi
Description: partial internal transcribed spacer region
Source: RNAcentral